RNAcentral lists this ribosomal RNA (429 nucleotides) under Chloroflexota bacterium. Its description in RNAcentral is "Chloroflexi bacterium partial 16S ribosomal RNA". It matches the Rfam family "Bacterial small subunit ribosomal RNA", at positions 355 to 776 of the family's 1533-position model. The record is from RNAcentral. Lineage: Bacteria; Bacillati; Chloroflexota.
UGGGGAAUAUUGCACAAUGGGCGCAAGCCUGAUGCAGCCAUGCCGCGUGUGUGAAGAAGGCCUUCGGGUUGUAAAGCACUUUCAGCGGGGAGGAAGGCGAUAAGGUUAAUAACCUUGUCGAUUGACGUUACCCGCAGAAGAAGCACCGGCUAACUCCGUGCCAGCAGCCGCGGUAAUACGGAGGGUGCAAGCGUUAAUCGGAAUUACUGGGCGUAAAGCGCACGCAGGCGGUCUGUCAAGUCGGAUGUGAAAUCCCCGGGCUCAACCUGGGAACUGCGUUCGAAACUGGCAGGCGAGAGUCUUGUAGAGGGGGGUAGAAUUCCAGGUGUAGCGGUGAAAUGCGUAGAGAUCUGGAGGAAUACCGGUGGCGAAGGCGGCCCCCUGGACAAAGACUGACGCUCAGGUGCGAAAGCGUGGGGAGCAAACAGG